UUGAAUGUGUCAACCAAAUUUCGUGUA
Molecule: non-coding RNA, 27 nt
Filed under: Homo sapiens (human)
Lineage: Eukaryota; Metazoa; Chordata; Mammalia; Primates; Hominidae
Source: RNAcentral